Long non-coding RNA from Strongylocentrotus purpuratus (purple sea urchin), 994 nucleotides. RefSeq lists it as uncharacterized. Lineage: Eukaryota; Metazoa; Echinodermata; Echinoidea; Camarodonta; Strongylocentrotidae. The transcript has 3 exons. The record is from RefSeq and is a predicted model, not a curated record.
GGGUAGGAUCUCUUUCAGGAGCCGACCCUACCCAAAUCAGAGGCUAAUGAACGAAAAAGACAGAAAUUUCGGUCUGGUAACACCUCUGCCUGAGCUGCAGUGCUAGUUGUGGCUGUUGGUGGGAUAAUUUUCUACAGGAUGAUGAUGAUUUUCAUAACCACCCCCCCCCCCCCCCUCCCCAAGAAAUCUAAAUUUCAUCAAUAAGAGUCUAGUCUUGACAGGUCUUAUAGGAAUUGAAAGGAAAUGGACAGAAGCUUCCUUUUUUGACAUAUACAUUUGCUGAUAAUGUUACAGUAGACCUAGCUUAGUCUUAUAACUCUAUUAGUAAACUAGAGAGAAAGAGAAAUUGUAAUUUCUUAUCAAAUAUCAACAUAUUUUUCAUCUUGAUUUUCUGCUAUUUCAGGUUCUUUCCAAUUGAUGCAUGGGGAUGAAAAAAGAAGGCCUCUCCCAAGCUACUGUGUCCCGCCUUGUGAAGUCCAUCUCAAUAGCCAUUGCCAGGAGAUCGGAGCAAUACAUCUCAAUUCUUUCAACAAGAGAGGCAGUCCUGCAGAGUGCAGACCCAACAUGAGUUUUAUAAUUACUGCCAUUUCCCUGGCGUUAAUAUGGUUGGUGCUAUUGAUUGCACCCACAAAGCGUCUCCAAGCCAGUUGGCCCAACACCAGUUAUUUCCUGAACAGGAAAAAUAGAUACUCUGUUUUUCUUGGAAAGUCUGCUGGAUGAUGUUCUUCUUCAGUAAAAUAAAUGAAGGCAAAUAACCUGAUGAUUAAGACAAAUUCAGAGAGAGGAAGGAGAACUACUGAGCUGCUGAAUUUCUGAGAGACAUACUUGCAGGGACUAUGAAGUUCUACUUAGCCUAUUCAAUGAACCAAACUCCAUCUGCUGUAACUGUGACUGCAUGGGGAUCAAAACCUUUGUAUUAUAAUCCUCAUAACAUGAAGCUAUGGUAACAAACAAGCAACCAUUGAUAAUAAGCCUGAUAUGUCCUUGUUGUGUG